Long non-coding RNA from Salvelinus sp. IW2-2015, 719 nucleotides. RefSeq lists it as uncharacterized. NCBI's taxonomy places the organism in Eukaryota, Metazoa, Chordata, Actinopteri, Salmoniformes, Salmonidae. The record is from RefSeq and is a predicted model, not a curated record.
CUGUCGAGAUGAGUCGCMUAUUCAGGGAGGGAGGAGAUGUUUCUUAAUAUGGAUCAAAGUUGUUCAAAUUAGUCAAUUACAUUUACAAAAUMCAAACGCUACAGCAAGGCGUUUGUGAGAAAAAUGGAUGAAGAAAUUAUAACAUAUUUUUCCACAUUGCAUUAAAACUACAAAGCUGACGCUGGAUUGCUAAAUUYGUUUAUUUUCAUUGAAAUAGAAUGGCUGGUUACCUAGCUAGCAAUAGUCUUCUGUCUAGACUCUAGCCUGUAACUAAUGGUUGUUACGUUGUAGAACAGAGCAAUAGUUAUUUGUACUUGUCAUUUGUUUGAGACUAACAUUAGUUAGAAAAUAAUUGUUUACUUUGUGUAUAUUUGUUGUGUAAUUGUUUGGCUUUGCUAGUUAGCCAGCUGAGAUUGAUUUUUCUCAAAUUGGCUAACUUAGCUAUUAGCUAAUGUUUUAAGAGAAACAGGCUAGCUCCUUGCAGAAUCUAGAGUAGAGAAUGUGGAAUAAGAUGUGUCUGUUGCAGUGCCCAGACGAGGUCAGAGCAACCUGCUACAGAGAUAGAGGAAUCUCCAAAUGCCAUGUUGAACGAGCACCAGGGAUGAAGGAGGGGGAGGAAAACAGACUGCUUCUUUCUCCCACACCUUCACCAUGUCAUACAAUGUUUGCUUCAUGAAUUAUUGUUACAUCUGAAAUAAAUACAUUGUUAUURUAGUAUA